AGAUGGUUAGAUAGCAUCACUGAUUCAAUGGACAUGAAUUUGAGCAAAUUGUGGGAGAUAGUGAAGGCCAGGGAAGCCCGCUGUGCAUGGAGUAACAAAGAGUCGGGCACGACUUAGUGACUGAGCAACAACAAUGUCUACUAAAUAGAAAAUUCAGUUGUUCUCUCACACCAUAGGUUGAGAAACAAGGAAGUUGAUUUAAGAUCAAAUUUUGCACUAUAUUUUAGAGAUUACAAUGCUACAAACAUAUCUGAGUCUCCAAGAUGCCACAAAUAUCUGGUUUUCAGUUACAUCUGGAGAGAUUAUUUAUUUAGAGCAUUGAAGAUAAAUAAGUGUCUUGAGAUUAGGGAGAAACAGGAAUUCUCCUUCAUUGUGUAUGAACANNNNNNNNNNNNNNNNNNNNNNNNNNNNNNNNNNNNGUAUCUCAUAAAUUUGAAGAUAUACAUGACUAUGGUUCACCAAAUCUAUGAAAUAUUCACUAAAAUAUAUCUUAUAUUUGUAUACAACUGGCAUGUAUAAGAAUAUUAUUUAUAAUUCUAUUUAUGAUAGCAAAAUACCAUGCUGCUAUGAAAACUAAUAAGUUGUGCUACAAAAAUCAGUACAGAUUAUCCUGAAAAGUACGAGGUUAAAAGAACAGAGCAAGUUGCAGUUGAACACUGUAUACUCUAGGGUUUAUAUAAAAUCUUUCAACUUUAAAACAAGCUUAUAUAAUAUUUAUGGAUAUGUUCAAUUGCAGUAGAAAUAGUAAAAUAUAAAAAUAAAGGUAGACAAAAGAAUAAAAGCGUACAAUAGAGAGAAAAUCUACAAAGACCGAAAAGCAGUGACUGCUGAGGUAGCAAAGGGAGGAACAGAACCAGGGAGAGCACUUGAAUUUUUUAAUUUCUAAUUUUUUUUUGCUAGGCUGGAAGGUGAGUGUGCAAGGCUUUAUGAUAUCUAUCUUUAAAUGGAAAUCUACUAUGUAUUGUAUCUUUUAGGAAAACUUCCAAAUUAAAUGCUCUUCCCAAUGGAAACAGAAGACACAAAAACUCCCCUCUACCAUUCCUGGAAAGUAAACCUAGUGGUCAGUCUCCUGGCUAGAGAUGAUGUUUCUGUUUUUUCCCAGGAAGGCUCCUACAAAGAAGCAUCAUCGCUGAGCAAGGUGGUAACUAUAGUAAUCAAGAGAGAAACCCUAAGACAAAAUAAAGUUGUGGAAGCAGUCAAUCCAGUCUUCUUUCUCCUCUCCAUCCCUAGAUACCUGGAGAGUCUCUUUCUUCAGCAUGCCUCUAUGAGUGAGGCAGGAGCAAGAACAGAACCAAGUUUCAUUUUACUGAAAGGUGCUUGCUUGCUGUCUCUAUUGUUCUGGCCAGUUCUGAUGGCUCUCCAGAAUUCCAAUUCCAAGUGA
RNAcentral lists this long non-coding RNA (1381 nucleotides) under Capra hircus (goat). Its description in RNAcentral is "lncRNA (ENSCHIG00010032148.1)". The record is from RNAcentral. Lineage: Eukaryota; Metazoa; Chordata; Mammalia; Artiodactyla; Bovidae.